AGAGUUUGAUCAUGGCUCAGAACGAACGCUGGCGGCGUGGAUUAGGCAUGCAAGUCGAACGCGAAAGAGGGGGCAACCCCUCGAGUAGAGUGGCGAACGGGUGAGUAACGCGUGAAGAACCUGCCUUCGAGAGGGGGAUAACACUCCCAACGGGGUGCUAAUACCGCAUGAGACCACGGAGCUGCAUGGCUCUGUGCUCAAAGGUGGCCUCUAUUUAUAAGCUACCGCUCGAAGAUGGCUUCGCGUCCCAUUAGCUUGUUGGCGGUGUAAAAGACCACCAAGGCGACGAUGGGUAGCUGGUCUGAGAGGAUGGUCAGCCACACUGGGACUGAGAUACGGCCCAGACUCCUACGGGAGGCAGCAGUCGAGAGGCUUCGGCAAUGGGGGAAACCCUGACCGAGCGACGCCGCGUGGGGGAUGAAGGCCCUUGGGUUGUAAACCCCUUUUAUUCGGGAAGAAAUGCGAUCAGGUGAAUAAUCUGGUCGUUUGACGGUACCGAAUGAAUAAGCUCCGGCUAACUCCGUGCCAGCAGCCGCGGUA
Molecule: ribosomal RNA, 540 nt
Filed under: uncultured bacterium
Lineage: Bacteria
Description: bacterial SSU rRNA
Rfam family: Bacterial small subunit ribosomal RNA
Source: RNAcentral